This 1453-nucleotide long non-coding RNA is filed under the name Gossypium barbadense (sea-island cotton). Its description in RNAcentral is "long non-coding RNA (GBAR_LNC000488)". Lineage: Eukaryota; Viridiplantae; Streptophyta; Magnoliopsida; Malvales; Malvaceae. The record is from RNAcentral.
UUUCAUCUUUCUUCUUCAUCCACCGAAAAUGCAGCAAGGAGUGGGUUUUGAAAGCUCAAAAAUACCAGCCACUUAUAGUCCUUGCAAGUAAGUGAUUUAGAUAACCUUUCUUGAUGAUUUUUGCAUUUUUAGGACCUUUGUAGCAUAAGCUAACUAAUGAGGAGACUAUUUUGAAAAAUAGUUGAAUGUCUAGGGUUCUGCCAUGUGAAUACUCAUAUCUCAUAUUGUUUACUGAAUUUUUAUGGAAGAAAAUGAUUCAUGGUUGUGUAAUAAACAACUUUUGUGAAAGAAGUUUGCAUGAAAACACCUAAAAGGGGUUAUUUUGUAAAGUUGUAAAAUAAGUUGUAAUGUGUGAAAUAAUUGAAAUUGUGAGUUUCUAUGGUUAAAAAAAGAAUUCGGCUAGGCUUGGUAAAGGAGGAAAUUUGAUAAAAAUCGAUUUACGAGCCUAAGGGCAAAAUCAUAAUUUUUGUAAAGUCUAAGGCAAAAAAGUCAUUUUGCAAAUUGUGAAUUAUAGAAUGGUUUAAUUAAUGAAAUGAUUAAAUAAGUGAAUUUCAUUAUGUUAGAUCAAGAAAAUCGAGAUUUGGGCUUAAAUAAGAAAGUACGAGGUUAUGGACUAAAAUGGAGUAAUUAGCUGAAAUUGCAUUCGAGGUAAGUCCAUGUGACUAAAUAAACAUGUUAUCCAUGUUAUUGUUAAUAUACUUGAAAUCUAUCUUGCUUUGGUUAUAUUGAAUUAUAUGUUGGUGAUAUUGAGUAUGAUGAAAGUGAUGCCAAAUGUUAACAACAUUCAUGUGAAGAUAGAAUACAUUAGAAAUUUGAUGGAAUAUGAUAUUCCAUAGAAAUGAGUAAGUUGUAUGUUAAUAAUACAACUAUAUUGUUUUGAUGUAUAAUUGAAUUGAUAUUGCAUAAAUUGUUUUGAUUGUGAAUAUGAGUAUGCAUGUUGAGAAAUUAAUGUAAUAAAGACUCCCGGUUGAUGAGAGCUAGUGUAAGACCUGUCUGGGACAUGGCAUCGACUUUGAUGUGCUGGCCAGUGUAAGACCAUGUCUGGAACAUGACGUCGGCAUCUUACCCUAUGUUUGAGGCUUAGUUAAUAUCCUGUAGUGUUCCAAAUGGUUCAACGGGAAAUUUAUGAUUUAAGUCGCAAUGAUAGAGAUUAUGUGAUAAUUUUUCUAUAUUAAUCAUGUGUUUAUUUUGAGCUUGAGCCUACUAAUUUGAGCUAUUUAUGUCUUUUUAUCUUUUAGGGACUAAAUUGGAGGCGAAAAGUAAAUUCAAGGGAAAAGCAUCAAUUUGGAGAUUAAAUGGGCCAAUAUGCAACGUGGGACAAAUAUGAUGCCAAAAGUGCGAACAUGGAAGGCAUAAGGACUUAAAAGCAAAUAGAAGAGAUUUUAUUUUGGAAGACUCUAUUUUAUUUUAUUUUAUUUAUAUUAGGAUAAUUAAUAUUAAGAUAAAUAUUAGG